AUUUCUCGAUAUUUCCACCCCCCCUCUUCAAACCCCUGCGAAACCUAUAGAACAUAGAUAGACCUCCCACCUGCGAAACGUGUAGCAUAUAGACAGAUCAUCAUUAUGUAUUCGUAGAUAAUGAAGGAACGAACAGCGCGCGCCUACACUGAUUUCGAGUGGUGCUCGGUACUCGGAAAUGGCGGCCGAUCGUGGGCCAAUUGUCGAACCGAGUGCAGUAUGCGCGAUACGCUCCAAGCACUACCGCGAUUAACAUAACAACAAUAUCUGCUUUGCUAAAACCGUGCAACAAAUUAAUCUAUUCUGUGCUUAAACCGCGUAGUAUUGAAACCA
This is a non-coding RNA of Cinara cedri, 333 nucleotides long. The record is from the annotation of a GenBank genome assembly. NCBI's taxonomy places the organism in Eukaryota, Metazoa, Arthropoda, Insecta, Hemiptera, Aphididae.